GGCGGCCGGAGCGGCUGCGGCGGCGCAGGCGACGACGGCGGUCGGCGGGGAAAGUUGCCGGAGCACGGUGAAGUCCAGGGGGAGGGUCUGCAGGAGGCGUAGCCCCGGGCCUUCACACAACCCGAGAGGAGAGAGAGAGAGAGAGAAAGAGAGGGAUGGAAGAUGGGUGAUGGCUCGGCGGCGGCCGGGGCUGGUGCAGCAAGGGCAGGGGGAAGGGUGAAGGUGGCUGGGGCGACUAGGGUAGCUGGGGGCUGGCUAGGGUUAGGGUUAGGGGGUCAAAACCCUAGGAACCACUAUAUAAACAAGGUACAACUCGCAAGAAAGCCCCUCAAACAUCAGAAUUUCAAUCCGAGAUCCUCACAGUACGACUAAAACGCAUGAACGCCCCUCCACGUGCGAUCCCUCGCGAAACGAUACAUAAAAUAUCGCGACUUUUGCGAAAAUACCGUUUUGCUAACACCGACCUCUCCUCGAUCAACGCGCGAUCUCCGCAGAUCCGUCCGUCAGAUUUGCGAACGGAUUGCACCAGUGCGAUCAGCACGACGGAGACAACAAAGCUGCGAUUUCGUUUCGUCUUGAUCGACCACGGAUUCACGACAAAAUCCAACCUUCUUCGAAUAGAAGGAAACACACACAUAAAUACAUAUAA
RNAcentral lists this long non-coding RNA (649 nucleotides) under Ananas comosus (pineapple). Its description in RNAcentral is "long non-coding RNA (ACOM_LNC020072)". Lineage: Eukaryota; Viridiplantae; Streptophyta; Magnoliopsida; Poales; Bromeliaceae. The record is from RNAcentral.